RNAcentral lists this ribosomal RNA (482 nucleotides) under uncultured bacterium. Its description in RNAcentral is "partial 16S ribosomal RNA". It matches the Rfam family "Bacterial small subunit ribosomal RNA", at positions 30 to 507 of the family's 1533-position model. The record is from RNAcentral.
AUUGAACGCUGGCGGCAUGCCUUACACAUGCAAGUCGAACGGUAACGGGCCUUCGGGUGCCGACGAGUGGCGAACGGGUGAGUAAUACAUCGGAACGUGCCCGAUCGUGGGGGAUAACGAGGCGAAAGCUUUGCUAAUACCGCAUACGAUCUACGGAUGAAAGCAGGGGACCGCAAGGCCUUGCGCGGACGGAGCGGCCGAUGGCAGAUUGGGUAGUUGGUGGGAUAAAAGCUUACCAAGCCGACGAUCUGUAGCUGGUCUGAGAGGAUGAUCAGCCACACUGGGACUGGGACACGGCCCAGACUCCUACGGGAGGCAGCAGUGGGGAAUUUUGGACAAUGGGCGCAAGCCUGAUCCAGCCAUGCCGCGUGCAGGAUGAAGGCCUUCGGGUUGUAAACUGCUUUUGUACGGAACGAAAAGCCUUCUUUUAAUACAGGAGGGUCAUGACGGUACCGUAAGAAUAAGCACCGGCUAACUACGUG